CCAUGCCGCGUGCAGGAAGACGGCCUUCUGGGUUGUAAACUGCUUUUACCAGGGGUUAAAAUGGUCUUGCGAGACAAAUUGAAGGUACCUGGUGAAUAAGCCACGGCUAACUACGUGCCAGCAGCCGCGGUAAUACGUAGGUGGCAAGCGUUGUCCGGAUUUAUUGGGUUUAAAGGGUGCGUAGGCGGCCCUGUAAGUCAGUGCUGAAAUAUCCCGGCUUAACCGGGAGGGUGGCAUUGAUACUGCGGGGCUUGAGUACAGAUGAGGUAGGCGGAAUUGACGGUGUAGCGGUGAAAUGCAUAGAUAUCGUCAAGAACACCGAUAGCGAAGGCAGCUUACUAAGUUGUAACUGACGCUGAUGCACGAAAGUGUGGGGAUCAAACAGGAUUAGAUACCCUGGUAGUCCACACUGUAAACGUUGAUUACUCGCUGUUUGCGAUACACAGCAAGCGGCCAAGCGCAAGCGAUAAGUAAUCCACCUGGGGAGUACGCCGGCAACGGUG
Molecule: ribosomal RNA, 503 nt
Filed under: uncultured Bacteroidota bacterium
Lineage: Bacteria; Pseudomonadati; Bacteroidota
Description: bacterial SSU rRNA
Rfam family: Bacterial small subunit ribosomal RNA
Source: RNAcentral